This 230-nucleotide long non-coding RNA is filed under the name Elaeis guineensis (African oil palm). RNAcentral's name for it is "long non-coding RNA (EGUI_LNC016754)". The record is from RNAcentral. Lineage: Eukaryota; Viridiplantae; Streptophyta; Magnoliopsida; Arecales; Arecaceae.
CAAAUCUAGUUCUAAACCAACCAUCGAUCUUAUUUUCUUUUCUUUUUUCUUUUUUUUCCUUGAUAUUAUUCUAGAUCACUUGUUGAAUUCACUGAUCCUAUGUGACAGUCAAGAUACAAUAUAGGCUAUCAUUCAUCUAAACAUCAGCUAUCAUAAAGGAUUGAUGAGCAGAAUGCAUGGUCUACCUUUAGAUUUUUUUUUUUUGCGUGAUCGGUGCAUGCAUGCCAACC